Molecule: long non-coding RNA, 205 nt
Filed under: Lepidothrix coronata (blue-crowned manakin)
Lineage: Eukaryota; Metazoa; Chordata; Aves; Passeriformes; Pipridae
Description: lncRNA (ENSLCOG00000012909.1)
Source: RNAcentral
CCACGCCCGGCACCCUCGGCAGCGGCAAAGCGGGCUUCGCCAGCGGCGCCGGCACUCGGAUCAUUUGUGUGCAAGAAACAAGAAGAAAAUACAAUUCUCCAGGACAAUAAGAACUACCUAUGCUUCAAAAUGGAAGUGAGGAAGAAGAGUCCCCAAAAGUAUUAAUUUGAAUAAAAAUUAUUGUUCUUAAGUAAGUACUUCUUGU